RNAcentral lists this ribosomal RNA (253 nucleotides) under uncultured bacterium. RNAcentral's name for it is "partial 16S ribosomal RNA". It matches the Rfam family "Bacterial small subunit ribosomal RNA", at positions 524 to 776 of the family's 1533-position model. The record is from RNAcentral.
UACGUAGGGGGCAAGCGUUGUCCGGAAUUACUGGGCGUAAAGCGUGCGCAGGCGGUGAUGUAAGACCGAUGUGAAAUCCCCGGGCUUAACCUGGGAACUGCAUUGGUGACUGCAUUGCUGGAGUAUGGCAGAGGGGGGUGGAAUUCCACGUGUAGCAGUGAAAUGCGUAGAGAUGUGGAGGAACACCGAUGGCGAAGGCAGCCCCCUGGGCCAAUACUGACGCUCAUGCACGAAAGCGUGGGGAGCAAACAGG